RNAcentral lists this ribosomal RNA (1540 nucleotides) under Staphylococcus aureus 40P10. Its description in RNAcentral is "16S ribosomal RNA". It matches the Rfam family "Bacterial small subunit ribosomal RNA". Lineage: Bacteria; Bacillati; Bacillota; Bacilli; Caryophanales; Staphylococcaceae. The record is from RNAcentral. RNAcentral also lists the same sequence under 11 other names.
AGAGUUUGAUCCUGGCUCAGGAUGAACGCUGGCGGCGUGCCUAAUACAUGCAAGUCGAGCGAACGGACGAGAAGCUUGCUUCUCUGAUGUUAGCGGCGGACGGGUGAGUAACACGUGGAUAACCUACCUAUAAGACUGGGAUAACUUCGGGAAACCGGAGCUAAUACCGGAUAAUAUUUUGAACCGCAUGGUUCAAAAGUGAAAGACGGUCUUGCUGUCACUUAUAGAUGGAUCCGCGCUGCAUUAGCUAGUUGGUAAGGUAACGGCUUACCAAGGCAACGAUGCAUAGCCGACCUGAGAGGGUGAUCGGCCACACUGGAACUGAGACACGGUCCAGACUCCUACGGGAGGCAGCAGUAGGGAAUCUUCCGCAAUGGGCGAAAGCCUGACGGAGCAACGCCGCGUGAGUGAUGAAGGUCUUCGGAUCGUAAAACUCUGUUAUUAGGGAAGAACAUAUGUGUAAGUAACUGUGCACAUCUUGACGGUACCUAAUCAGAAAGCCACGGCUAACUACGUGCCAGCAGCCGCGGUAAUACGUAGGUGGCAAGCGUUAUCCGGAAUUAUUGGGCGUAAAGCGCGCGUAGGCGGUUUUUUAAGUCUGAUGUGAAAGCCCACGGCUCAACCGUGGAGGGUCAUUGGAAACUGGAAAACUUGAGUGCAGAAGAGGAAAGUGGAAUUCCAUGUGUAGCGGUGAAAUGCGCAGAGAUAUGGAGGAACACCAGUGGCGAAGGCGACUUUCUGGUCUGUAACUGACGCUGAUGUGCGAAAGCGUGGGGAUCAAACAGGAUUAGAUACCCUGGUAGUCCACGCCGUAAACGAUGAGUGCUAAGUGUUAGGGGGUUUCCGCCCCUUAGUGCUGCAGCUAACGCAUUAAGCACUCCGCCUGGGGAGUACGACCGCAAGGUUGAAACUCAAAGGAAUUGACGGGGACCCGCACAAGCGGUGGAGCAUGUGGUUUAAUUCGAAGCAACGCGAAGAACCUUACCAAAUCUUGAUAUCCUUUGACAACUCUAGAGAUAGAGCCUUCCCCUUCGGGGGACAAAGUGACAGGUGGUGCAUGGUUGUCGUCAGCUCGUGUCGUGAGAUGUUGGGUUAAGUCCCGCAACGAGCGCAACCCUUAAGCUUAGUUGCCAUCAUUAAGUUGGGCACUCUAAGUUGACUGCCGGUGACAAACCGGAGGAAGGUGGGGAUGACGUCAAAUCAUCAUGCCCCUUAUGAUUUGGGCUACACACGUGCUACAAUGGACAAUACAAAGGGCAGCGAAACCGCGAGGUCAAGCAAAUCCCAUAAAGUUGUUCUCAGUUCGGAUUGUAGUCUGCAACUCGACUACAUGAAGCUGGAAUCGCUAGUAAUCGUAGAUCAGCAUGCUACGGUGAAUACGUUCCCGGGUCUUGUACACACCGCCCGUCACACCACGAGAGUUUGUAACACCCGAAGCCGGUGGAGUAACCUUUUAGGAGCUAGCCGUCGAAGGUGGGACAAAUGAUUGGGGUGAAGUCGUAACAAGGUAGCCGUAUCGGAAGGUGCGGCUGGAUCACCU